AGAGUUUGAUCCUGGCUCAGAAUCAACGCUGGCGGCGUGCCUAACACAUGCAAGUCGCACGAGAAAGGGGAGCAAUCCCUGAGUAAAGUGGCGCACGGGUGAGUAACACGUGAAUCAUCUACCUCCGAGUGGGGAAUAACCUAGAGAAAUCUGGGCUAAUACCGCAUAACGCUUACGAGUCAAAGCAGCAAUGCGCUUGGAGAGGAGUUCGCGGCCGAUUAGCUAGUUGGCGGGGUAAUGGCCCACCAAGGCGAUGAUCGGUAUCCGGCCUGAGAGGGCGCACGGACACACUGGAACUGAAACACGGUCCAGACUCCUACGGGAGGCAGCAGUGGGGAAUUUUGCGCAAUGGGGGAAACCCUGACGCAGCAACGCCGCGUGGAGGAUGAAAUAUUUUGGUAUGUAAACUCCUUUCGAUGGGGAAGAUUAUGACGGUACCCAUAGAAGAAGCCCCGGCUAACUUCGUGCCAGCAGCCGCGGUAAUACGAGGGGGGCAAGCGUUGUUCGGAUUUAUUGGGCGUAAAGGGUGCGUAGGCGGUUUGGCAAGUCUUAUGUGAAAUCUUCGGGCUCAACCCGAAGCCUGCAUAAGAAACUGCCGGGCUUGAGUAUGGGAGAGGUGAGUGGAAUUUCCGGUGUAGCGGUGAAAUGCGUAGAUAUCGGAAGGAACACCUGUGGCGAAAGCGGCUCACUGGACCAUAACUGACGCUGAUGCACGAAAGCUAGGGGAGCAAACAGGAUUAGAUACCCUCGUAGUCC
RNAcentral lists this ribosomal RNA (756 nucleotides) under uncultured bacterium. RNAcentral describes it as "bacterial SSU rRNA". It matches the Rfam family "Bacterial small subunit ribosomal RNA", at positions 8 to 796 of the family's 1533-position model. The record is from RNAcentral.